GAAAGAAUAAACCCAAAGAACAACGAUUUUUUUGUUUUUUAGUUACUGCAAUUGAGCAGAGCAUAUUUACAAUGGGAAAGGCACAAGAUAUAUAUUAGAGAAGCUUUGAUAUUACUUGGCAGGAGGUCCAGAAGGCUUUAGAAGCAGCAUUUAGAAUCACAGGGUUCUGGUAUAGCCCCACUGCAGUAGCUCCCCAGGAUGCCACAUUAUAAAUGACCUUGCUUCCA
RNAcentral lists this unclassified non-coding RNA (227 nucleotides) under Hevea brasiliensis (rubber tree). Lineage: Eukaryota; Viridiplantae; Streptophyta; Magnoliopsida; Malpighiales; Euphorbiaceae. The record is from RNAcentral.